This 253-nucleotide ribosomal RNA is filed under the name uncultured bacterium. Its description in RNAcentral is "partial 16S ribosomal RNA". It matches the Rfam family "Bacterial small subunit ribosomal RNA", at positions 524 to 776 of the family's 1533-position model. The record is from RNAcentral.
CACGUAGGGCGCAAGCGUUGUCCGGAAUUAUUGGGCGUAAAGAGCUCGUAGGUGGUUUGUUACGUCUGCUGUGAAAACCUAGGGCUUAACCCUGGGCUUGCAGUGGAUACGGGCAGACUAGAGGUAGGUAGGGGAGAAUGGAAUUCCUGGUGUAGCGGUGAAAUGCGCAGAUAUCAGGAGGAACACCGGUGGCGAAGGCGGGUCUCUGGGCAGUAACUGACGCUGAGGAACGAAAGCGUGGGUAGCAAACAGG